Molecule: long non-coding RNA, 1297 nt
Filed under: Brassica napus (rape)
Lineage: Eukaryota; Viridiplantae; Streptophyta; Magnoliopsida; Brassicales; Brassicaceae
Description: long non-coding RNA (BNAP_LNC017785)
Source: RNAcentral
AGCGAUAAGAGUAUAUGUUUCUCCACACCGAAAGAACAAAAGUAUUGUAUCUACAAAGAACAGAGUCAAAGAGCUAAUAUAAUGCAACAAAAAACUAAACAUUCAUGUUCCAACAAUAGGUUUUCACAGUAAUUAGAGCAAUUCAACUGUUACCAGUCCAAAGAACAAAUACAUGAAAUCAGAAAAGCACAUCUUCAUGAAAUAUCCAGUGGGAAUCUGAAAUGGAGCAUUAAGAACAGAAGGGCGUACGCAAACAUCAUCACAUCGUUUACGGGAUGGUGUAGAGAGGGACUGAAAAACCAAAUAGAACGCACCAGAAUUCCAAAUUUCAUGUCCCCACCAAAGGUUCUUACAGUGAUUACCAAUCCAAAAACAAAUAUAUGAAAUCAAGCACGUAUAUGGAUCAUUGGGAACUGAAAGAGAAAAUCAAGAACAUAUGGGCGUACACACACAUCACUGCAUCAUUUUUAAUCACACAGCAGAGUAUUUACAUAAUCCAAAAAAAAAUCAGAUCUAACUUUCUGAGCUAAAACACAGUAAUGAAAAACUGAUAUGAGAAUUUAAAUCCAGCUUUAGUAUCAGCAAGUGGAAUACAUACAAAAGAAAAGAAAUAACUAACCCCAUUUAUGGAGCUGAAUAGUAAGCUCGAUGAAGAGCUCGUACAUCUGAAAAAUAUCAGCAGCAUUUCCGUGUGAAUACAGAAGUGUUGUGACGGCCAUAGGGUACCUGAUGUACAUUGAGACGUUGGUGCCUCGACGCUUGAGCAGAAGCUCCGUUGCAGAUUAUCUUAUAAGUGAAUAUAUUCGACGGAUCAUUUUAAUUGUUUACUUGUUCCUUUUGUUGGAGUUCAUGAUCAUCAAGAUCAAAACUAAUCGGUUACUUUGGCUAGAAUAUUUUUAUUAUUCUCUAACUGUAGACUCCACUCUCCGAACUAUCUCUCUCUCUGCCUGUAUAUGGGAAUCGAAUUGGUAAGAGCGUAAAGUGGUCGCUGGAAUUUCAAGAAGAAGACGAACCUGGUCAUGACGAUUAUUGCGAGCAAGGCAAAUUAAAUAGCUAAUAGUGUGAUAUCUAGAUUGAAGGACGUACAUCAAGGAGAAGACUAAUUACAUGGAGUGAAUGGUGAUGAGAAACAACAACGACAUAAAUCCACACACAUCACCUUUUCUUCAAGAAAGAGCAAGUCAAUCCCCAUUAGCUCUCCUCCAUUCUUCACAUUACGGGCUUCCCAGAAUAAAUGUAAGAGUAAUGAUUCUGGGACGUUACAGUUUCUAUGGUUUCUCUGCAGCGUGGAGGCAGG